RNAcentral lists this ribosomal RNA (253 nucleotides) under uncultured bacterium. Its description in RNAcentral is "partial 16S ribosomal RNA". It matches the Rfam family "Bacterial small subunit ribosomal RNA", at positions 524 to 776 of the family's 1533-position model. The record is from RNAcentral.
UACGUAGGGUGCGAGCGUUGUUCGGAAUUACUGGGCGUAAAGCAUGCGUAGGCGGUUUGGUAAGUUAGAUGUGUAAUCCCCGGGCUCAACUCGGGAGCUGCAUUUAAGACUGCUAGACUAGAAUAUGGUAGGGGGUAAUGGAAUUCUUAGUGUAGGGGUAAAAUCCGUAGAUAUUAAGAGGAACACCAGAAGCGACGGCGAUUACCUGGGCCAUUAUUGACGCUGAGGCGCGAAAGCGUGGGUAGCAAACAGG